AACGAACGCUGGCGGCAUGCCUAACACAUGCAAGUCGAACGAGACCUUCGGGUCUAGUGGCGCACGGGUGCGUAACGCGUGGGAACCUGCCCUUAGGUUCGGAAUAACUCCCCGAAAGGGGUGCUAAUACCGGAUAAUGUCUUCGGACCAAAGAUUUAUCGCCUUUGGAUGGGCCCGCGUUGGAUUAGCUAGUUGGUAGGGUAAAAGCCUACCAAGGCGACGAUCCAUAGCUGGUCUGGGAGGAUGAUCAGCCACACUGGGACUGAGACACGGCCCAGACUCCUACGGGAGGCAGCAGUGGGGAAUAUUGGACAAGGGGCGAAAGCCUGAUCCAGCAAUGCCGCGUGAGUGAUGAAGGCCUUAGGGUUGUAAAGCUCUUUUACCCGGGAUGAUAAUGACAGUACCGGGAGAAUAAGCUCCGGCUAACUCCGUG
RNAcentral lists this ribosomal RNA (433 nucleotides) under uncultured bacterium. RNAcentral describes it as "partial 16S ribosomal RNA". It matches the Rfam family "Bacterial small subunit ribosomal RNA", at positions 29 to 507 of the family's 1533-position model. The record is from RNAcentral.